RNAcentral lists this ribosomal RNA (529 nucleotides) under Arthrobacter woluwensis. RNAcentral's name for it is "bacterial SSU rRNA". It matches the Rfam family "Bacterial small subunit ribosomal RNA", at positions 124 to 668 of the family's 1533-position model. The record is from RNAcentral. Lineage: Bacteria; Bacillati; Actinomycetota; Actinomycetes; Micrococcales; Micrococcaceae.
GCCCCUUGAACUCUGGGAUAAGCCUGGAAAACUGGGUCUAAUACCGGAUACGACCAUUGCCCGCAUGGGUUGGUGGUGGAAAGCUUUUGUGGUUUUGGAUGGACUCGCGGCCUAUCAGCUUGUUGGUGAGGUAAUGGCUCACCAAGGCGACGACGGGUAGCCGGCCUGAGAGGGUGACCGGCCACACUGGGACUGAGACACGGCCCAGACUCCUACGGGAGGCAGCAGUGGGGAAUAUUGCACAAUGGGCGAAAGCCUGAUGCAGCGACGCCGCGUGAGGGAUGACGGCCUUCGGGUUGUAAACCUCUUUCAGUAGGGAAGAAGCGAAAGUGACGGUACCUGCAGAAGAAGCGCCGGCUAACUACGUGCCAGCAGCCGCGGUAAUACGUAGGGCGCAAGCGUUAUCCGGAAUUAUUGGGCGUAAAGAGCUCGUAGGCGGUUUGUCGCGUCUGCUGUGAAAGGCCAGGGCUCAACCCUGGUUCUGCAGUGGGUACGGGCAGACUUGAGUGAUGUAGGGGAGACUGGAAUU